UGUGAGAUUGUAGAGCUUGCAGAAAUCUCUCUGUGCCUCAGUCUCCCCACGGGGAAAUGUGGGAGCCUUUAUUCCCCCAUUUGACAUCUCACACUGGCAAGAAAAGCCAAAAUCCCUUGAAAUUCAGAAUGCUGAGAAGUGAAUGUGAGACAGACUACUCUGUUUUCAUUUCCCAAGGAUCAGCUUCAAAGGACCCUCGAGUGAAUUCAAGCAUUGGCAUUCACUCCUCUUGGACUGGAUCAGCACGAAUUCUUCAGAACAUGCCCAGAAUUCCUGUUCCUGAUGGCUCCACGAUGCAGGAUCUUCUCUUGCUGAGAAGGAGCCCUCCUGGAGAAGGCUUCACAUCCAGGCUGUCACUGCAGCUCCUGGCAGUGCCACCACCCCAGCU
Onychostruthus taczanowskii (white-rumped snowfinch) is the source of this 388-nucleotide long non-coding RNA. RefSeq lists it as uncharacterized. Lineage: Eukaryota; Metazoa; Chordata; Aves; Passeriformes; Passeridae. The transcript is spliced from 4 exons. The record is from RefSeq and is a predicted model, not a curated record.